This 635-nucleotide long non-coding RNA is filed under the name Bos taurus (domestic cattle). RNAcentral describes it as "long non-coding RNA NONBTAT000264". The record is from RNAcentral. Lineage: Eukaryota; Metazoa; Chordata; Mammalia; Artiodactyla; Bovidae.
AAGGAUUCACUAACCACUGUGAACAAAACAAUUAGCUGGGUUAUGGUGUUCUUAGUUGUAAAUGGUAUCAUGCCAAUCUCUUCAUACUUCAUGGAGCUUUUAUGUUUAUGCUCAAUGAAUAGCACUGUUUAUAACAGCUCAUAGAGUUGUUUGGCUUCAUAAAUUGUUCAUGUGUCUGCCAACCUGUUUGUCUAGGGAAAAAAUACUUUGAAAUAUAACUGGAAGCACAUUUUAGGCUAUUUGCAUUAACUAUCUUUAAGACAAGUUUAGAGUACUUUAAGAGACUGACAUUUAGAGUGCAUAAUCUUUCAUGUAAGAAGUUUCAUCUUUGUCUCCUGAGGCUUCUGUUUAUAUAUGAAGAAAACUGCAAUGUGACAUUUGCUAAUAAUGUCUACUAAAGGAAUGCUACAUCUUCAGGGUACUUCUUAGACUUAUAAAUUAUGGCAAUUAUUAAUGAAAUAAAUGAAUCCAUUUUAGAGCACAGAACUGUUUAUUUUUAGAGUUAACUCAUUGCAUUUGAUGUAUGUCAACUCUUCUACCCUAUAAAAAGGUCUGGAUUAAGAAAAAAAUGAUAUCUCUUUGUGAAUUGUAUCUCUAAUCUCCCUAAAUGGAAAAAAAUGCAGAUUUUAACUGAC